AUUGAACGCUGGCGGAAUGCUUUACACAUGCAAGUCGAACGGUAGAGGGGGCAACCCCUCGAGAGUGGCGAACGGGUGAGUAAUAUAUCGGAACGUGCCCAGUCGUGGGGGAUAACGUAGCGAAAGUUACGCUAAUACCGCAUACGAUCUAAGGAUGAAAGCGGGGGAUCGCAAGACCUCGCGCGAUUGGAGCGGCCGAUAUCAGAUUAGGUAGUUGGUGGGGUAAAGGCUCACCAAGCCAACGAUCUGUAGCUGGUCUGAGAGGACGACCAGCCACACUGGAACUGAGACACGGUCCAGACUCCUACGGGAGGCAGCAGUGGGGAAUUUUGGACAAUGGUCGCAAGUCUGAUCCAGCCAUUCCGCGUGCAGGAUGAGGGCCCUCGGGUUGUAAACUGCUUUUGUACGGAACGAAAAGGUCUCUCUUAAUACGGGGGACUCAUGACGGUACCGUAAGAAUAAGCACCGGCUAACUACGUGCCAGCCGCCGCCGUAA
RNAcentral lists this ribosomal RNA (496 nucleotides) under uncultured bacterium. RNAcentral's name for it is "partial 16S ribosomal RNA". It matches the Rfam family "Bacterial small subunit ribosomal RNA", at positions 30 to 523 of the family's 1533-position model. The record is from RNAcentral.